Otolemur garnettii (small-eared galago) is the source of this 107-nucleotide small nuclear RNA. The record is from Ensembl. Lineage: Eukaryota; Metazoa; Chordata; Mammalia; Primates; Galagidae.
GCGCUGACUCCAAAGGCACAUGUACUAAAAUGGGAACAACACAGAGAAGAUGAGUGUGGCUUCUGUGCAAGGAUGACACAAAAAUUCAUGAAGCCUUCCAUAUUCUU